GGAAAAACACAACAAAAAGAAAAGGAAAAAAGAGAAGAUGAAAAAAAAGAAAGAAAAGAAGAGAAAGAAAGAGAAAUCGGGUCCUGUACAACUUUCUAAAUAUCUCAAAGAUAAAAAGAAGAAUCAUAACUACAGUAUGAUCACAGGAAAGAAAAUUAAGAUGAAAAUAAAGAAGAGUAAAAAGGAUAAAGAGAGGGAUCGAAACCGUGCAGAACUUCUUGAUUUCUUGAACUCUACUUUUUAGUAAAAAAGCUGUU
This is a non-coding RNA of Python bivittatus (Burmese python), 257 nucleotides long. The record is from RefSeq and is a predicted model, not a curated record. NCBI's taxonomy places the organism in Eukaryota, Metazoa, Chordata, Lepidosauria, Squamata, Pythonidae.